ACUCCUACGGGAGGCAGCAGUGGGGAAUAUUGCACAAUGGGCGCAAGCCUGAUGCAGCCAUGCCGCGUGUGUGAAGAAGGCCUUCGGGUUGUAAAGCACUUUCAGUUGUGAGGAAGGUGGUGUCGUUAAUAGCGGCAUCAUUUGACGUUAGCAACAGAAGAAGCACCGGCUAACUCCGUGCCAGCAGCCGCGGUAAUACGGAGGGUGCGAGCGUUAAUCGGAAUUACUGGGCGUAAAGCGCAUGCAGGUGGUUUGUUAAGUCAGAUGUGAAAGCCCGGGGCUCAACCUCGGAACUGCAUUUGAAACUGGCAGACUAGAGUACUGUAGAGGGGGGUAGAAUUUCAGGUGUAGCGGUGAAAUGCGUAGAGAUCUGAAGGAAUACCGGUGGCGAAGGCGGCCCCCUGGACAGAUACUGACACUCAGAUGCGAAAGCGUGGGGAGCAAAC
RNAcentral lists this ribosomal RNA (446 nucleotides) under uncultured bacterium. RNAcentral's name for it is "bacterial SSU rRNA". It matches the Rfam family "Bacterial small subunit ribosomal RNA", at positions 335 to 773 of the family's 1533-position model. The record is from RNAcentral.